ACAGGAUAUUGUUUUAUGCAACAAGCCAUAAAAUUUCACAUCAAGUAUGAGUGGUGGUGCACGGCUGUUCUUAGUUGAUAGGAGCGAUUUGUUUUGUUAAUUUUGUUAAUGAAUGAGAAAUCAGCCUGCUAACUAUCUAUGUGGAGGUAUUCCUUCUCGUCCAACUUCUUAGAGGUACUACAACCUUUUAGGCUAUGAAAGUAUGAGACAGUAAUAGGUCUGUGAUGCCCUUAGAUGUUCUGGACUUCAUCAGUGCUGCACUGAUGUAUUCAACGAGUUUGAAGCAUUGGUUGAUAGGAUCGUAUAAUCUUUGAAAUUUCAUCGUGAUAGGGAUAGAUCAUUUCAAUUGUUGGUCUUCAAUGAAGA
This 366-nucleotide non-coding RNA is filed under the name Capsicum annuum. RNAcentral describes it as "Eukaryotic small subunit ribosomal RNA". It matches the Rfam family "Eukaryotic small subunit ribosomal RNA", at positions 1223 to 1609 of the family's 1831-position model. Lineage: Eukaryota; Viridiplantae; Streptophyta; Magnoliopsida; Solanales; Solanaceae. The record is from Rfam by way of RNAcentral.